Molecule: ribosomal RNA, 303 nt
Filed under: uncultured bacterium
Lineage: Bacteria
Description: partial 16S ribosomal RNA
Rfam family: Bacterial small subunit ribosomal RNA
Source: RNAcentral
AGCAGUCGCCGCGGGAAUACGUAGGUGGCAAGCGUUGUCCGGAAUUAUUGGGCGUAAAGGGCUCGCAGGCGGUUUCUUAAGUCUGAUGUGUAAGCCCCCGGCUCAACCGGGGGGGUCAUUGGAAACUGGGAAACUUGAGUGCAGAAGAGGAGAGUGGAAUUCCACGUGUAGCGGUGAAAUGCGUAGAGAUGUGGAGGAACACCAGUGGCGAAGGCGACUCUCUGGUCUGUAACUGACGCUGAGGAGCGAAAGCGUGGGGAGCGAACAGGAUUAGAUACCCCUGUAGUCCCUGUCUCUUAUACA